GGCGAACGCUGGCGGCGUGCCUAAUACAUGCAAGUCGAACGCUGAAGGAGGAGCUUGCCUCUCUGGAUGAGUUGCGACCGGGUGAGUAACGCUUAGGUAACCUGCCUGGUAGCGGGGGAUAACUAUUGGAAACGAUAGCCAAUACCGCAUAAUAGCAGUUGUUGCAUGACAACUGUUUGAAAGGUGCACUUGCUCCACUACCAGAUGGACCUGCGUUGUAUUAGCUAAUUGGGGGGGUAACGGCUCACCAGGGCGACGAUACAUAGCCGACCUGAGAGGGUGAGCGGCCAAGCUGGGACGGGGGGACGGCCCAGACCACUGCGGGAGGCAGCAGGAGGGAAUUCUUGGCAAAGGAAGGAAGGCUGAACGAGGGACGACGGGGGAGGGCAUAAGGGUGUCGGAUCGUAAGGGUCAGUUGUAAGAGAAGAACGAGUGGGAGAGUGGAAAGUUCACACUGUGACGGUACCUGACCAGAAAGGGACGGCUAACUACGUG
This 495-nucleotide ribosomal RNA is filed under the name uncultured bacterium. RNAcentral describes it as "partial 16S ribosomal RNA". It matches the Rfam family "Bacterial small subunit ribosomal RNA", at positions 28 to 507 of the family's 1533-position model. The record is from RNAcentral.